This 606-nucleotide long non-coding RNA is filed under the name Mustela putorius furo (domestic ferret). Its description in RNAcentral is "lncRNA (ENSMPUG00000031495.1)". Lineage: Eukaryota; Metazoa; Chordata; Mammalia; Carnivora; Mustelidae. The record is from RNAcentral.
UGUAACUCUCCCGACGACCCCAUGACGCAGCUGGUUCCCCUUGUUUUCUACGUAAGGAAAGGAAGACUCGGCAACGGUGAAUCCCUGCUCCAGGUCACCCAGCCGGGAAGUGGCAGGGCGGUGGGGGGGGGGGGGAGGGGGGGGCCGCCCAAACAGAAGGUUUUGCCCUUGAGGAUUUAAAAAACCCACUACCACUCUUCAUCCAUCCGUCUGGCUUUUUAAGUUUGACAAGGUGAUCUGUGCACAAGGUCACAAAGAUCAGCACAUACAAAGAGGAGCAGAUGUAAGAAACUCCUCCCUGUUCCACAGUCUGCAUCUCCACCGGGGCCCGACAGCAUUGCCACGGCCUCCUGUGAAGUCGCGACGGGUCACGCCGGUGCAAGCCCUCAUCCUCUGCGCCUGCCUCUACCCCGACACCCGACCACAGAGAUAGAAAUACACUAUUUACUCUCCUCUCCGCCUGGCUUUUUAAUUUAUAUAUCCCUAAUAUAUAUAUAUCACAUAUACAUGUGGGUAUGUAUAUAAGUAUAUGUAAUUUAUGCAUAUAUGUGUAUAUUAAGUGUAUUAUAAUAUAUAAAUGUAACAUAUUAAAAUACAAAAUAUGUA